This 66-nucleotide transfer RNA is filed under the name Neomonachus tropicalis (Caribbean monk seal). RNAcentral describes it as "tRNA-Pro". It matches the Rfam family "tRNA". Rfam says of the family: Transfer RNA (tRNA) molecules are approximately 80 nucleotides in length. Lineage: Eukaryota; Metazoa; Chordata; Mammalia; Carnivora; Phocidae. The record is from RNAcentral.
CAAGGAGUAGUUUAAGUAGAAUAUCAGCUUUGGGUGUUGAUGGUGGGGUUGUUUCCUCUUCCUUGA